This 440-nucleotide ribosomal RNA is filed under the name uncultured bacterium. RNAcentral's name for it is "bacterial SSU rRNA". It matches the Rfam family "Bacterial small subunit ribosomal RNA", at positions 338 to 790 of the family's 1533-position model. The record is from RNAcentral.
CCUACGGGAGGCAGCAGUGGGGAAUCUUGCUCAAUGGGCGAAAGCCUGAAGCAGCGACGCCGCGUGUGGGAAGAAGGUCUUCGGAUUGUAAACCACUUUCAGGAGGGAAGAAGCGAGAGUGACGGUACCUCCAGAAGAAGGCCCGGCCAACUACGUGCCAGCAGCCGCGGUAAUACGUAGGGGCCAAGCGUUGUCCGGAAUUAUUGGGCGUAAAGAGCUCGUAGGCGGCCCAACAAGUCGAACGUGAAAUCUCAAGGCUCAACCUUGAAAUUGCGUCCGAUACUGCUGGGCUUGAGGCAGGUAGGGGAAAGCGGAAUUCCUGGUGUAGCGGUGAAAUGCGCAGAUAUCAGGAGGAACACCGGUGGCGAAGGCGGCUUUCUGGGCCUGUACUGACGCUGAAGAGCGAAAGCGUGGGGAGCAAACAGGAUUAGAUACCCCGG